Molecule: ribosomal RNA, 696 nt
Filed under: uncultured bacterium
Lineage: Bacteria
Description: bacterial SSU rRNA
Rfam family: Bacterial small subunit ribosomal RNA
Source: RNAcentral
AGUGGCGGACUGGUGAGUAACGCGUAAAGGAACUGCUUCUAGAGGGGAAUAACAAUGAGAAAUCAUUGCUAAUACCGCAUAUGCCGAGAGAAUCACAUGGUACAAUCGGGAAAAGAGUAAUCUGCUAGAAGAUGGCCUUGCGUCUGAUUAGAUAGUUGGUGGGGUAACGGCCUACCAAGUCGACGAUCAGUAGCCGGACUGAGAGGUUGAACGGCCACAUUGGGACUGAGAUACGGCCCAGACUCCUACGGGAGGCAGCAGUCGGGAAUAUUGCGCAAUGGAGGAAACUCUGACGCAGUGACGCCGCGUAUAGGAAGAAGGUUUUCGGAUUGUAAACUAUUGUCGUUAGGGAAGAGAAAGGACAGUACCUAAGGAGGAAGCUCCGGCUAACUACGUGCCAGCAGCCGCGGUAAUACGUAGGGAGCGAGCGUUAUCCGGAAUUAUUGGGUGUAAAGGGUGCGUAGACGGGAAGAUAAGUUAGUUGUGAAAUCCCUCGGCUUAACUGAGGAACUGCAACUAAAACUGUUUUUCUUGAGUGCAGGAGAGGUAAGUGGAAUUCCUAGUGUAGCGGUGAAAUGCGUAGAUAUUAGGAGGAACACCAGUGGCGAAGGCGACUUACUGGACUGUAACUGACGUUGAGGCACGAAAGUGUGGGGAGCAAACAGGAUUAGAUACCCUGGUAGUCCACACCGUAAA